RNAcentral lists this ribosomal RNA (301 nucleotides) under uncultured bacterium. RNAcentral describes it as "partial 16S ribosomal RNA". It matches the Rfam family "Bacterial small subunit ribosomal RNA", at positions 509 to 807 of the family's 1533-position model. The record is from RNAcentral.
CAGUCGCCGCGGGAAAACGAGGGGGGCAAGCGUUGUUCGGAAUUAUUGGGCGUAAAGGGCGCGUAGGCGGUUUGGCAAGUUUGGUGUGAAAUCUUCGGGCUCAACUCGAAGUCUGCACCGAAAACUGCCGGGCUUGAGUAUGGGAGAGGUGAGUGGAAUUUCCGGUGUAGCGGUGAAAUGCGUAGAUAUCGGAAGGAACACCAAUGGCGAAGGCGACCACCUGGACUGAUACUGACACUGAGGUGCGAAAGCGUGGGGAGCAAACAGGAUUAGAUACCCCCGUAGUCCCUGUCUCUUAUAC